CCUAACACAUGCAAGUCGAACGCGGUUAUCCAGCAAUGGAUGACUGAGUGGCGAACGGGUGAGUAACACGUGGGUGACCUACCUUCGAGUGGGGGAUAACGUCCCGAAAGGGACGCUAAUACCGCAUGACAUCCUGCCUUUGAACAGGCGGUGAUCAAAGCCGGGGACCGUAAGGCCCGGCGCUUGAUGAGGGGCUCGCGUCUGAUUAGCUAGUUGGUGAGGUAACGGCCCACCAAGGCGACGAUCAGUAUCCGGCCUGAGAGGGCGGACGGACACACUGGGACUGAGACACGGCCCAGACUCCUACGGGAGGCAGCAGUGGGGAAUUGUUCACAAUGGGCGCAAGCCUGAUGACGCAACGCCGCGUGGAGGAUGAAGGUCUUCGGAUUGUAAACUCCUGUUGCCCGGGACGAAAAGCUCUGACCUAACACGUCGGAGUCUGACGGUACCGGGUGAGGAAGCCCCGGCUAACUCUGUGCCAGCAGCCGCGGUAAUACAGAGGGGGCAAGCGUUGUUCGGAAUUACUGGGCGUAAAGGGCGCGUAGGCGGCCUUCUAAGUCGAACGUGAAAUCCCUGGGCUUAACCCAGGAACUGCGUCCGAUACUGGAAGGCUUGAAUCCGGGAGAGGGAUGCGGAAUUCCAGGUGUAGCGGUGAAAUGCGUAGAUAUCUGGAGGA
RNAcentral lists this ribosomal RNA (676 nucleotides) under uncultured Acidobacteriota bacterium. Its description in RNAcentral is "bacterial SSU rRNA". It matches the Rfam family "Bacterial small subunit ribosomal RNA", at positions 47 to 705 of the family's 1533-position model. The record is from RNAcentral. Lineage: Bacteria; Pseudomonadati; Acidobacteriota.